Molecule: ribosomal RNA, 532 nt
Filed under: uncultured bacterium
Lineage: Bacteria
Description: bacterial SSU rRNA
Rfam family: Bacterial small subunit ribosomal RNA
Source: RNAcentral
UAGGCCUUGACAUACUAAGAACUUUCCAGAGAUGGAUUGGUGCCUUCGGGAACUUAGAUACAGGUGCUGCAUGGCUGUCGUCAGCUCGUGUCGUGAGAUGUUGGGUUAAGUCCGCAACGAGCGCAACCUUUUCCUAUUUGCCAGCGGGUAAUGCCGGGAACUUUAAGGAUACUGCCAGUGACAAACUGGAGGAAGGCGGGGACGACGUCAAGUCAUCAUGGCCCUUACGGCCAGGGCUACACACGUGCUACAAUGGUCGGUACAAAGGGUUGCUACCUCGCGAGAGGAUGCUAAUCUCAAAAAGCCGAUCGUAGUCCGGAUCGCAGUCUGCAACUCGACUGCGUGAAGUCGGAAUCGCUAGUAAUCGCGGAUCAGAAUGCCGCGGUGAAUACGUUCCCGGGCCUUGUACACACCGCCCGUCACACCAUGGGAGUUUGUUGCACCAGAAGUAGGUAGUCUAACCGCAAGGAGGACGCUUACCACGGUGUGGCCGAUGACUGGGGUGAAGUCGUAACAAGGUAGGCGUAGAUGA